RNAcentral lists this ribosomal RNA (17 nucleotides) under Pyrgus sidae. RNAcentral's name for it is "partial 28S ribosomal RNA". Lineage: Eukaryota; Metazoa; Arthropoda; Insecta; Lepidoptera; Hesperiidae. The record is from RNAcentral.
UCUGCCUCGAUUUUUUU